UACAGAGGGUGCGAGCGUUAAUCGGAAUUACUGGGCGUAAAGCGCACGUAGGUGGCGACGUAAGUCGGGUGUGAAAGCCCCGGGCUCAACCUGGGAACUGCGCUUGUUACUGGCAGGCUGGAGUGUGGCAGAGGGGGGUGGAAUUCCACGUGUAGCAGUGAAAUGCGUAGAGAUGUGGAGGAACACCGAUGGCGAAGGCAGCCCCCUGGGUCAAGAUUGACGCUCAUGCACGAAAGCGUGGGGAGCAAACAGG
RNAcentral lists this ribosomal RNA (253 nucleotides) under uncultured bacterium. RNAcentral describes it as "partial 16S ribosomal RNA". It matches the Rfam family "Bacterial small subunit ribosomal RNA", at positions 524 to 776 of the family's 1533-position model. The record is from RNAcentral.